This 500-nucleotide ribosomal RNA is filed under the name uncultured bacterium. RNAcentral's name for it is "partial 16S ribosomal RNA". It matches the Rfam family "Bacterial small subunit ribosomal RNA", at positions 28 to 507 of the family's 1533-position model. The record is from RNAcentral.
GACGAACGCUGGCGGCGUGCUUAACACAUGCAAGUCGAACGGAAAGGCCUGCUUUCCCUUGUGGAUUGCGGGUACUCGAGUGGCGAACGGGUGAGUAACACGUGAGUGAUCUGCCCCCAACUUGGGUAUAAGCCUGGGAAACUGGGUCUAAUUCCCGAUAGGACUGCAGGGUGGUGCCUGUGGUGGAAAACGAUUUUCUAGUGGUUGGGGAUGAGCUCGCGGCCUAUCAGCUUGUUGGUGGGGUAAUGGCCUACCAAGGCGGCGACGGGUAGCCGGCCUGGGAGUGUGAGCGGCCACACUGGCAUUGAGACACGGUCCCGACCCAGACGGGUGGCAGAAGCAGGGGUGGUGAAGCAAGGGGAGAAGGCGUAAGCCUGAAGCAGCGAGGGAGUGAGGGAGGUCUCGGGCUUCGGGUUGUAAGCUCCUUGCGAAGGAGAGGAGGGCAAGUGGUUAGGAGGGUCGUGACGGUAGUGGUAGAGAAAGCCCCGGCUAACUACGUG